GAUGAACGCUAGCGAUAGGCCUAACACAUGCAAGUCGAGGGGCAUCACAUGAAGUAGCAAUACGGAUGGUGGCGACCGGCGCACGGGUGAGUAACACGUAUGCAACCUGCCUUCAACAAGGGGAUAACCCGUUGAAAGACGGACUAAUACCCUAUAACACAGGGGUCCCGCAUGGGAAUAUUUGUUAAAGGACAACCGGUUGAAGAUGGGCAUGCGUUCCAUUAGCUAGUUGGCGGGGUAACGGCCCACCAAGGCAACGAUGGAUAGGGGAACUGAGAGGUUUAUCCCCCACACUGGUACUGAGACACGGACCAGACUCCUACGGGAGCAGCAGUGAGGAAUAUUGGUCAAUGGACGCAAGUCUGAACCAGCCACGUCGCGUGAAGGAAGACGGCCCUACGGGUUGUAAACUUCUUUUAUACGGGAAUAAAGUGCCCCACGUGUGGGGUUUUGCAAGUACCGUAUGAAUAAGGAUCGGCUAACUCCGUGCCAGCAGCCGCGGUAAGUACGCAGCGA
This 516-nucleotide ribosomal RNA is filed under the name uncultured bacterium. Its description in RNAcentral is "bacterial SSU rRNA". It matches the Rfam family "Bacterial small subunit ribosomal RNA", at positions 28 to 532 of the family's 1533-position model. The record is from RNAcentral.